Molecule: ribosomal RNA, 399 nt
Filed under: uncultured bacterium
Lineage: Bacteria
Description: bacterial SSU rRNA
Rfam family: Bacterial small subunit ribosomal RNA
Source: RNAcentral
AUUUAUCGCACAAAGAUGGGCUCGCGUCCCAUUAGCUAGUUGGUGAGGUAACGGCCCACCAAGGCGACGAUGGGUAGCCGACCUGAGAGGGUGAUCGGCCACACUGGAACUGAGACACGGUCCAGACUCCUACGGGAGGCAGCAGUGGGGAAUAUCGGGCAAUGGGCGCAAGCCUGACCCAGCAACGCCGCGUGAGGGAAGAAGGUCUUCGGAUUGUAAACCUCUGUCCUUGGGGACGAAAAAAAUGACGGUACCCAAGGAGGAAGCUCCGGCUAACUACGUGCCAGCAGCCGCGGUAAUACGUAGGGAGCGAGCGUUGUCCGGAAUUACUGGGCGUAAAGGGUGCGUAGGCGGCAUUGCAAGUCAGAUGUGAAAUCCCCGGGCUUAACUCGGGGGGUG